GCCAGGGUGCUGUAGUGGUUUCAGCAUUGUACAAUGACUCUGAAGACCAGGGUUCAAAUCCCAGCUUGGCCA
Molecule: non-coding RNA, 72 nt
Organism: Phrynosoma platyrhinos (Desert horned lizard)
Lineage: Eukaryota; Metazoa; Chordata; Lepidosauria; Squamata; Phrynosomatidae
Source: the annotation of a GenBank genome assembly